Molecule: long non-coding RNA, 1341 nt
Organism: Vicia villosa (hairy vetch)
Lineage: Eukaryota; Viridiplantae; Streptophyta; Magnoliopsida; Fabales; Fabaceae
Exons: 3
Source: RefSeq, a predicted model, not a curated record
UCUCGCUCUCGGAUUCUCACAAUGGUGAACAACAAUAAUUCGGCGGCUCCUCUCUCCCAUUCUCUUGCUCUCGCCGAACAAACAAACAACAACAACCUUCGGACUUCUUCCGGCGGCCAUGGAAGAGGCUUGAAGAAGCUUGAAAAAAAAACCAGGUAUGCUUCUUCACAAAUUUCGUUUUCUUUUUGUUUUCUAAUAACAGCUCAAUGAUAACUCUCUCUGUUUCGAUUUUUGCUUUGGGUGAACAAUAACAACAACAUAUACCUCUUCCAUGUCGUAUGCGUCGCCUCUCUCUUGGUGGACAACAAACAGAGUUCAAUUUAUAUGUUCUUGUUCAUCACUAAUUUUUACAAGUCCAAAAGAUUCAACCAAAAAACAGACAAUUGAAGAGAUAAUUUAAGCAGUAAUAUUGAGAUUGAGAGUGGAAAUGAAUUACCUGCGGCAAGGAGAGUUUUGCCGGUUAUGGUUGAGCUUGUUGUUGCUGAAUUUUUUGAACCUUUGAUGAUGGUUGCUGUGUCGGAUCGUUGGAGAUGAUGUGGGGCUGCCACUAAAAGUUUGGAGGUAUUGUUUCGACCCUCCUGGAAAUUCCGAGUGGUUGUAGAAGAACAACUUUGAAUUUUUUUUACUAACAACUUCUGAAUUUGUUAAUUGUAACAACUUUGAAUUCUUGUUACUAACAAACUCUUUUUCUCUUUUUUUUUGAAAUUGUUGAUUGUAACAACUUUUGAAUUUUGUUGUUGUAGGCUUUUUUUGAUGAAGGUGAUGCUACAACAUCUCUCUCUUUGGAUUGUGGGAGACUUGAAGAUGAAGAUCUUCAAGUGAGGUAUGAAGAACUACCUCUCCCUUCUUAGUAACUAUAGAACUUCUUGAAAAUUAUGAUAAGAAAGAGAAGUGAGAAAGCUAGUAGUAUAGUAGCUUUUGUGUAUUUUUGCAAUGAAGAGAACACUCCUAUUUAUAGGAAAAGCUUAGGAUGUGUUUGGCAAUUUGGUGAACUUGAUUGGCAAUUUUCAAUCAUUGCAAGAUAAGAAAAAGAAUAUAUUCUUCAUCAUUGCAAGAAUAAAAGAUAAGAAUAAGAAUAUUCUUAUGCAAAGAUAUUUUUCAUGAUAUAAGCCAUGUGUGUAAAUUUUUAUGUCAUUUUUAUGAUAUCUCUAAGUUGCAUAAUUUUAUGACAUAAAAAUCUCUCUUUGGCUUUCUUUGACUUUUGCUAAUUUCACCCCCUUUUUGUUUUCUUUUUUCAUGUUACAUGAGGACCUUGAAGAAAAGCAUGAAGAAAUUUGAUCUUGAAGAAUGAAGACUUGAAGAAUUCAAGAAUUGCUUUUGAAGUUUUAUUUUUUCUUUUCC